AUUGAACGCUGGCGGAAUGCUUUACACAUGCAAGUCGAACGGCAGCACGGACUUCGGUCUGGUGGCGAGAGGCGAACGGGUGAGUAAUGUAUCGGAACGUGCCCAGUCGUGGGGGAUAACGUAGUGAAAAUUACGCUAAUACCGCAUACGAUCUAUGGAUGAAAGCGGGGGAUCGCAAGACCUCGCGCGAUUGGAGCGGCCGAUAUCAGAUUAGGUAGUUGGUGGGGUAAAGGCCCACCAAGCCAACGAUCCGUAACUGGUCUGAGAGGACGACCAGGAACACUGGAACUGAGACACGGUCCAGACUCCUACGGGAGGCAGCAGUGGGGAAGUUUGGACAAUGGGAGAAAGCCUGAGCCAGCCAUUCCGCGUGCAGGAUGAAGGCCCUCGGCUGUAAACUGCUUUUGUACAGAACGAAAAGGUUUCUACUAAUACUAGGAGCUCAUGACGGUACUGUAAGAAUAAGCACCGGCUAACUACGUGCCAGCAGCCGCCGUAA
Molecule: ribosomal RNA, 499 nt
Filed under: uncultured bacterium
Lineage: Bacteria
Description: partial 16S ribosomal RNA
Rfam family: Bacterial small subunit ribosomal RNA
Source: RNAcentral